This 253-nucleotide ribosomal RNA is filed under the name uncultured bacterium. RNAcentral's name for it is "partial 16S ribosomal RNA". It matches the Rfam family "Archaeal small subunit ribosomal RNA", at positions 474 to 727 of the family's 1478-position model. The record is from RNAcentral.
UACCAGCACCCCGAGUGGUCGGGACGAUUAUUGGGCCUAAAGCAUCCGUAGCCGGUCAUGCAAGUCUUCCGUUAAAUCCAGCCGCUCGACGGUUGGGCUGCGGAGGAUACUACGUGGCUAGGAGGCGGGAGAGGCAAGCGGUACUCAGUGGGUAGGGGUAAAAUCCUUUGAUCCAUUGAAGACCACCAGUGGCGAAGGCGGCUUGCCAGAACGCGCUCGACGGUGAGGGAUGAAAGCUGGGGGAGCAAACCGG